CCUACGGGUGGCAGCAGUGAGGAAUAUUGGUCAAUGGACGCAAGUCUGAACCAGCCAUGCCGCGUGCAGGAAGACGGCUCUAUGAGUUGUAAACUGCUUUUGUACGAGGGUAAACGCAGAUACGCGUAUCUGUCUGCAAGUAUAUUACGAAUAAGGAUCGGCUAACUCCGUGCCAGCAGCCGCGGUAAUACGGAGGAUUCAAGCGUUAUCCGGAUUUAUUGGGUUUAAAGGGUGCGUAGGCGGUCGGAUAAGUUAGAGGUGAAAUCCUGAGGCUCAACUUCGGAAUUGCCUCUGAUACUGGUCGGCUAGAGAGUAGUUGCGGUAGGCGGAAUGUAUGGUGUAGCGGUGAAAUGCUUAGAGAUCAUACAGAACACCGAUUGCGAAGGCAGCUUACCAAGCUACUUCUGACGUUGAGGCACGAAAGCGUGGGGAGCAAACAGGAUUAGAUACCCGAGUAGUC
RNAcentral lists this ribosomal RNA (460 nucleotides) under uncultured bacterium. RNAcentral describes it as "partial 16S ribosomal RNA". It matches the Rfam family "Bacterial small subunit ribosomal RNA", at positions 338 to 795 of the family's 1533-position model. The record is from RNAcentral.